CUAUGAUGCUGCUUGGCCUGCUGUGUUCAUCCAGCCCUGCACCUUGUUGUCUCGGAUUCUCCAGCAUCUGCAGUUCCUACUAUCUCUGAUUCGUUGUAACUAGGUUGUAGCUAGUCUGGUCCAAAGGCCUGAUGUUAAUCCCCUGCUGUUCAUUGACUAAAUCCUUCGAAAUUGCAGUUGAAAUAUAAUUGUUCCAGUUCAGCUACAGGAAGCUCGUCUCAGGAAUUCAGUUUUCAGUUGCAAUCACUUAGGUCAGGUCAGGCUUGAUAUAGAUCCCAUUGAACUCAAGUUAGACUUCAGUUUCAAGACAGUGAGCAUUCUUGAUUAAUACUACUGCUGCUUAAUGACUGGCUGAAAUUGAUGAAACGUGGAAAACAUUGGAUUAUUAAUCAAGAUACAGGUGGCAGAGAUCACAAGUUUGGAAGGUGGUAUUGAAGGAGCCUUGAUGCUGCCAGACCUGCUGAGCUUCCAUUCUCUGUGGUUGGCUCAUUGGCACUCGGGCUCCCUUGAUUGACAAUUCAACAUCCAACUAGCUGCCAGCCCUGAGCAUAGCAACCACUCAGUGCCGAUUCGAUGACAGUGUCCUUAUUGUGACUGGAGUGAAGGACUGCAGAUUAGUCGAUGAAUAGGCCCACUCCUGACUUCUUGCUGAAGAUGAUGGCUCUUGAUGAAACAGCUGAAGAUAUUUGGGUUUGCAACCAAAUCCUGAGGUACAAUAAAUAGCC
Rhincodon typus (whale shark) is the source of this 725-nucleotide long non-coding RNA. RefSeq lists it as uncharacterized. The transcript is spliced from 4 exons. Lineage: Eukaryota; Metazoa; Chordata; Chondrichthyes; Orectolobiformes; Rhincodontidae. The record is from RefSeq and is a predicted model, not a curated record.